UUUCAGUGCUCCAGCUCCUGCAGGAGGGCCAAGAUCCACACAUUCUGUGUCCUCUGGAGGUCUUUACUCCACCUGUCUGUGGGUACCAUUAACUCAUGGGAAAAGGCUGGGCUACCCCCAGAAGCCCAUGUAAGAUACCAACUCACAAGAGGAUAUUGCUUCUUCAGAGAUUUAUUUUGAUGUGCAAAAACUUUAAUAAGUCACGCUGAAAAUUGUAUCAGUUGGUUCCCUGACCAGGAACGGCAGAUGAGUGACUCCUGGGACCCUCCCAGUCUGAGUUCCCUGCUGAGUUAUGGACUGGACUGCAUCCUGGAUUAAUUCCUCACUUCUCAACUAAACUUGUUGCUGCUGUUCUGCAAGCAACACCGGUCUAAUUCAUUUA
Molecule: long non-coding RNA, 382 nt
Organism: Cavia porcellus (domestic guinea pig)
Lineage: Eukaryota; Metazoa; Chordata; Mammalia; Rodentia; Caviidae
Exons: 3
Source: RefSeq, a predicted model, not a curated record